Molecule: ribosomal RNA, 229 nt
Filed under: uncultured bacterium
Lineage: Bacteria
Description: partial 16S ribosomal RNA
Rfam family: Bacterial small subunit ribosomal RNA
Source: RNAcentral
CCAAAAAUAACCGCCUCAGUUCGGAUUGUAGUCUGNAACCCGACUACAUGAAGCCGGAAUCGCUAGUAAUCGCGAAUCAGAAUGUCGCGGUGAAUACGUUCCCGGGUCUUGUACACACCGCCCGUCACACCAUGGGAGCCGGAAAUGCCCGAAGUCAGUGGCCCAACCUCAAAGGAGGGAGCUGCCGAAGGUGGAGCUGGUAACUGGGGUGAAGUCGUAACAAGGUAUC